Molecule: transfer RNA, 24 nt
Filed under: Impatiens acaulis
Lineage: Eukaryota; Viridiplantae; Streptophyta; Magnoliopsida; Ericales; Balsaminaceae
Description: partial tRNA-Leu
Source: RNAcentral
GGGUUCAAAGUCCCUCUAUCCCCA